This 372-nucleotide unclassified non-coding RNA is filed under the name plant metagenome. Its description in RNAcentral is "partial contains 5.8S ribosomal RNA, internal transcribed spacer 2, and large subunit ribosomal RNA". The stretch from base 1 to 105 matches the Rfam family "5.8S ribosomal RNA", at positions 50 to 154 of the family's 154-position model. The record is from RNAcentral.
GAAAUGCGAUAAGUAAUGCGAAUUGCAGAAUUCAGUGAAACAUCGAAUCUUUGAACGCACAUUGCGCCCCCCAGUACUCUGGGAGGCACGCCUGUCUGAGCGUCAUUUCAACCCUCGCGCCCCGGCCUCUGUGGCCCGGCGCGGUGUUGGGGAUCGGCCGCCCGCCAGCGGGAGGCCGGCCCCUAAAUCCAGUGGCGACCACGCCGUAGCCUCCUCCGCGUAGUAGUUUACACACCUCGCGGGCGGAGAGCGGCGCGGCCCUGCCGUAAAACACCCAUCAUCUCACAAGGUUGACCUCAGAUCAGGUGGGAAUACCCGCUGAACUUAAGCAUAUCAAUAAGCGGAGGACUGUCUCUUAAGCCCACGAGACGC